GAUGAACGCUAGCGGCAGGCUUAAUACAUGCAAGUCGAGGGGCAUCAAGGUACACGAAAGUGUAUUGUUGGCGACCGGCGGACGGGUGAGUAAUAGGUAGGUAACCUACCUCAUACUGAGGCAUAGCUGGGAGAAAUUCCAGGUAAUUCCUCAUGAGGUUAUAUGACACAUGUGAUAUAAUCAAAGGUAUCGCAAGGUACUGGUAUGAGAUGGGCUUACUGACCAUUAGCUAGUUGGUGAGAUAAGAGCUCACCAAGGCGAAGAUGGUUAGGGGUUUUGAGAGAGAGAUCCCCCACAUUGGAACUGAGAUACGGUCCAGACUCCUACGGGAGGCAGCAGUGAGGAAUAUUGGUCAAUGGACAGAAGUCUGAACCAGCCAAGUCGCGUGAAGGAAGACGGCCUUAUGGGUUGUAAACUUCUUUACUACGCGAAUAGAGGUUAGUACGAGAUACUAAUAGGAAGGUAGUGUAGUAAAAGCACCGGCUAACUCCGUG
RNAcentral lists this ribosomal RNA (494 nucleotides) under uncultured bacterium. RNAcentral's name for it is "bacterial SSU rRNA". It matches the Rfam family "Bacterial small subunit ribosomal RNA", at positions 28 to 507 of the family's 1533-position model. The record is from RNAcentral.